AAAAAUAAAAAUUAAUAAUAAUAAAUUUAAUAAAAGUAAUUUUAAUAUUAAAAUAAAUAAUGGGGGUUAAAGUAUUUUAAUAGAGAAAAUUAGAAAUUUUAUAGUAAAUUAGUAUAGUAGUAGAAAUUUGAAAUAAGUGAAAAAUAAUUUUUUAAAAAGUAAAUUUAAAUUAUUGUAUCUUGUGUGUCAGAGUUUAUUAAAUAAUAUUUUUAUAUAAAAAUAUCUCGAAUUUAAAAGAGUUAAUUAAUUAAUAAAGUUAAUGUAAAAUAAUUAUUUUAAAUAAUUAAUUUGAAAUGAAAUGUUAAUCGUUUUUAAAUAUAUCUAGUUAUUUUAGAAAAAAAUUUAAUUUUAAAUUUAUUUAUUAAUUAUAUUAAUUAAAUUAAUAUGAUAAAAAGUAAAUUUUAUAAUUUAAGGGAUAAGCUUUAAAUUAAAUUUUUAUAAUAAAUAAUUUAAAUAAAUAAAAUUUUUAAAAUUUAUAUUGUUUAAAAAUUAAAGUUUAUUAUAAAAAAUUUUAUUAAAAAUAAAAUUUAAAUUAAUUUAAUUUUUUAUAAAAAUAUAGUUUUUAAUAUAAAAAAAAUUAGUAAUAAUGAUAAAAUUAGUAUAAUAAAAUAAAAAAAAAUAAAUUUAUUUAAAAUUAAAUAAAAGGAAUUCGGCAAAAUUUAUAUUCACCUGUUUAACAAAAACAUGUCUUUUUGAGAAAUAAUUUAAAGUCUAAUCUGCCCACUGAUUUUAUAUUAAAGGGCUGCAGUAUAUUGACUGUACAAAGGUAGCAUAAUCAUUAGUCUUUUAAUUGAAGACUUGUAUGAAGGAUUUGAUGAAAUAUAAACUGUCUCUUAUUUAUAACUAGAAUUUAAUUUUUUAGUUAAAAAGCUAAAAUAUGAUUAAAAGACGAGAAGACCCUAUAGAGUUUUAUAGUUAUUUAUUUAAAAUAUUUAUAUAAAAUUUUAAUAUUUUAUUUGAAUAAUUAUUAUAUUGGGGUGAUAAAAAAAUUAAUUAAACUUUUUUUAAAAUUUAACAAAAAUAAAUGAAUAAAUGAUCCAUAAAUAAUGAUUAAAAGAAAAAAUUACCUUAGGGAUAACAGCGUAAUAUUUUUUUUUAGUACAAAUAAAAAAAAAAGUUUGCGACCUCGAUGUUGGAUUAAGAUAAAAUUUAAAUGCAAAAGUUUAAAAUUUUGAUCUGUUCGAUCAUUAAAAUCUUACAUGAUCUGAGUUCAAACCGGUGUAAGCCAGGUUGGUUUCUAUCUUUAAUUAAAUAGGAUAUUUUA
This 1264-nucleotide ribosomal RNA is filed under the name Hypaurotis taxila. RNAcentral's name for it is "Favonius taxila partial 16S ribosomal RNA". The record is from RNAcentral. Lineage: Eukaryota; Metazoa; Arthropoda; Insecta; Lepidoptera; Lycaenidae.